Long non-coding RNA from Megalobrama amblycephala (Wuchang bream), 2778 nucleotides. RefSeq lists it as uncharacterized. The record is from RefSeq and is a predicted model, not a curated record. Lineage: Eukaryota; Metazoa; Chordata; Actinopteri; Cypriniformes; Xenocyprididae. The transcript has 2 exons.
AAUAACCAACAAAUAAAUUAGCUUUUUUUAAAAUUGGAAUUGGCCAAGAAAAAUCAAAAUAUGUGCAUCACUAAUAAAAAAAAUAUUUAAAAAAGCAUUAUUUUAACUGUUUUUCACUGUAAAAAACAUGCAGUUUUAAGAAGCAGUGUACUAGUUUUCUUCAACUUAAUUUGUUUUUUUAUGUGGUUAAUAUUAAUGCAACUAUCAGCGCACUUUUUAUUAUUAUUAUUAUUAUUAUUAAUUCAGCCCGCAUAUGGUUAUUUUUUUCCAAUCCGGCCCUCAACCUAAAAUGAGUUUGACACCACUACUCUCGGGUUUAAGCUACAUGCUGUUUUAGGAUGAAUGAAUUCUGAAAUAUGAAUUUGUCAAAAUAAGUGUGUGUAUGCUUUGAAAAGUGAUGUUAAAUUGUUAUCUUGAUUUACCACUGUGGGUGUCUAAUAAUCGUUUGGUGCAGAUUUGAAUUUGUUGAUUAUAGAAAAGUUUUAUUUUUCCUCCUCUAAUUGUAGCUUUUUAUUCAUAGCCUUGUUUUUAUUAAGCCAUAUGAAAAAGCAAUGUUUUAAAAGAUGUUUCAAAAAUCUUUCUAACAGUUUCUGGGGGGGGGUUUGAGCUCAGUUUUCUGUUUGUUCAAAUGUUUUUUCCUGUAUAUUAUAUAUAAAACUGAUAUUAAACUUUUUUUAACCCAAGUUCCCACAUUUUGUCACCUGUUUCACCCCUGAUAAGCAUCUAACUGUCCAGAAGGGUUAGCUUAAGUCUUAAGUGCUUUGCUAGAACAUCUUGCACAGAUAAUUUUCUUCCAAGUUAGUACAAACACAAGAGGAUUCACACACUCUAACUGCCAGUGGUUCACCUGGGCCUUAUUCAUUGAGACUACAAGAAAAUUGACACAAAUAAGUCAAUAGGCUUGUUGUCUGUAUCAAAGUACACUGAGAGCGAUUGGAGAGCACAGGACUCUAUGCUUUUGAAUCGCUCUUGCGGUACUUUGAUGUGACAACGUUAAGCGUAACAGGCUUGAAUGUACAUUUGAUUUAUAAAAAAAUUUAAAAAAACUGAGGAUAUUUUUUCCUCCUCAUUUCAGAACACCGCUUUACACCACUGCUGAAGGAGGGGUACUCUCCCGGGUCAGUGUGAGUUUUUUAAAAGGUUUUGUUUAAACAUUGCUGCUGGCUAACACAUAACUUCCAAGUACAAUGGGAUGGGUGAACACAAACUCACAGGCAUGAAAUGGCUGAGACAGGAUAACUGCUAAUUACCAAACAGAUGUCAAUCAAUCAAGCAUCAUCCAAAAACACAUUUUAUUUAGUUAUGGAUUUAAGAUGGUAUAAUCAUGUUUGCAAUUAUAUUAAAAUCAAAGAAACAACAAUACUUUAAUAAUAACUGUAUAAUAUAAUAACUGGGUGGGGCCUUUUCAUCAUAGUGGGUGGGCCUAUGUCCUCUAGGCCCAUCCGUUGGCUAUCACUGCUUGAUUAGCUUCCCAUUGUUGCUUGUAAAUUUGAUAAUGCUCAACACCACUGGAUCAGAGCACUGUCAUUGCCAAUGUAAAGCCAUUUUACCAUGACAAUAAAGCUACUUGAAUCUGUAUUUGUUAAUCACGGGCUGCGUCCGAAACCGCCUACUCAAUGAGUAGGUACUUAAUUUCAAUAAGUACUUACUUAACGAGCGCCAAAAGAGUAGGUACUUGACAGCCAAAUCUCGUUGAGUAUGCGAGAUCCGAAAAUAAUCCGCCAUGUUGACGUUAUCAUGUGACCUACGAUGUUAUCACAAGUGCAACAACUUAAAAGAUAAGUGACAGUUUUAAUUCUUAUAUCUGUUAAUAUCUUGAUAUUGAUUAAACUGCUUAUUUUGUGGUUUUGUUGAAGAAACAGCUGCCAGUAAUUUUGUAAUUGUAGUAGGCUACAACUAAUAUAUUUUGGGUUAAAGUUCUUAUAUUUUUAUAAUGUGAGUUUAUUUUUUGUUACAAAUACCCAAAUUCGUGUGAAUAUGUUAUUAAUUUCUUUAUUUUAUAUGCAAAAAUGUCCAUCCACAAGCAUAAAUCAAAACUUUUCCCCUUUUUCUUGUUGAAUUAGCUCUAGUUUCAUCCCUCAGGCUUACAAAUAAUAAAUAAAAUAAAUACUUUCAUGCAUUAUGAUGUAUUCAAAAUAUUUAACCUUGUCAUCAUGCUUUAUGUGUGUAUAUAAUUUCAAACGAUGAUGUAUACAAACACAUUUUUAUGUUUUUUUUUUUUUUCAUUAUUAUUGUUCAUUGUUAAAGAUACAACUGGUAUUUUCCCUGAUCUUGUAUGUUAUUAUAGGUCCUGCAAUAAAAUAAAGAUGAGUUACAGGUGCACUAACACCUCACAGCACCAGUAACUCCACAACCCUACCUAGUGCGGUUUCCCUCAGUGUUAGCGAUGUCUGAAGCCAAAGAAGACAUCAGCAGCUGCUCGAAGAUCUCUCCUUUGGAGAAGACUGUUGAUUUUAUACUCAAAAAAUUCCUGCUUCCAUCUCAACACAGCUGUGCCAAUUCUGCAGCUUUAUUCUGAUUAAGCAGCUGAUGAACACCUUCAUCCAUCAUGUCCCUCACUGCUGCUCUUCUCAAUGGGGACAUCGUUGAUCCAGAGGAUGAGGAAGACCAUGAUGAUGAUCCUCUGAACCCCACAAGCUUGAAGCAAGAGUGGGAGAAGAUGUGUGGGGCAAUCUGGCUCUGCUGUGUUUGCAGUAAUACAAAAGCAGUCAUUUCAUGUGUCAUUCAUGUGCUCUCCAUCAGCAUGACUGAAUAAACAGAUUAAAACUUUUUACACUU